Molecule: long non-coding RNA, 1707 nt
Organism: Gossypium raimondii (Peruvian cotton)
Lineage: Eukaryota; Viridiplantae; Streptophyta; Magnoliopsida; Malvales; Malvaceae
Exons: 2
Source: RefSeq, a predicted model, not a curated record
UGCGUUCAUAAAAUUGGCAGUCAAUCUUGUGCGCCUGCUUUAUUAUACAAAUUCAAUUGUCAUUUCACAAUAAAAACAAAAAAAAAUGAAUAAAAAUGAUAUUAUUUAUUUAUUUAUUAACAGAAUACUGAUGACCUUAUUUAAUGAAAAAAAACCACAAUAAAAAAUGAUUAUUUAUUUAUACAGAAUACUGAAUUUAGAAUGUGUUUGGAUGGGCGAUUAGGUGUGAUGCGGUAAAUACACUAUUCGGCUGCUGCACCCCUAUUGGCUCCUUAAACGGUGCCUUAUCCUUCUAAGCAAAACGAAGUAAAACUGCAGCAAAACUGGUUCCUUUCCUCCAUCAUCCGGUGAUAGGUAUAUGGUCUGUGUAGGUGCGAGACUGCCCAUUUAAUACUGUGGUCGCCGGAGUCCCUAAAUGGCUUAUCCUCCGGCUAAAAAAUCCACCCUUUAUUCCUUUCUCUGCAACCCGCUUCAAUCUUGGCAUGCCUCUUCAUCCACCCUCACCGGCUCUUCUUCUAUCCCGUACACAAAGGAGACAUAGCGCCUCCCUUCCUCUGCUAGAACAUGGUUUGCGCUAUUUGCGGUUCCAGGCAUGAAUCCGAAACUACUAUAUUGAAAUCGUCGGGCUCUCACCUUUAUUUCUUUGAUUGAGCCGCAUAUAUAAGAUUUGUCUUCCACUGUUGGCUUCGCUUUUUUAAUAUGCCUUGAACAACGUUAUUAGUCCAUAGAUAUUUUAACCUGCUCCGUCCUGAUAGCUUUUGUUUCUGUUGUACCAAAUGGCACCAAAAGUAAUAGCCAUCCAUCUGUUUUUUAUUGGACUGUUAUUAACAAAUUCGAUUGCUAACCAUAGUUUCCAACUAUGCUCUUCGUUAUUUGGGGAGAAAUCUAUUUCUACCCCCUGCAGGACUUGUCGACUGAAUGGACAGUCAUAGAACACAUGGGCCACUACUCCACGCAGCCCGACAAACAGGACAGUUACUCACCGAAACAAUUUUCCAGCCUGUAAUCUUUAUUUUACUUGCAAUGUUUAGAGCCUAUAAUCUUUUGUAAAAGGUAUGUAAUGUCUGAUCUGAACUCAUUGAUUCCUCACCCAAAAUGUCUGAUUCACCUGUUAGGAGCCUCUUGUAACUACUUUUAACCGAAUAGACUCCUGUGUUAUCUUCUCGCCAUACAAUUUCAUCUGUUUGGUCAAUGCUAGGCAGCGGAAUAGUCACGAUUCGCCUUGCUUGUUCUUAGUCAAAUAAUGUUCUUAAGUCUUUUGUUUUCCAGGUAGCAGUAUACUGCCCACUCUCCAACCGAUUCCUUGUUCCAAUAAUCCACCAGCACUCCAUAUAUUACGCCAGGUAUAGGAAGGGUAAGAACUUAAUCUUGAGCUCGUAAAUCGCCAUUUGGAUGGUAUUUGGCUUUCAUAACUCGCGCAAAUAAGCAAUUUGGCUUUGAUAACAAUCGCCAACCCUGUUUCGUUAGAAGGGCUACAUUAAAUUUUGCUAAAUCCCUGAAUCCUAAUUCUCCAUGCGGUUUGGCCUCGCACAACAACCUCCAUUGACACCAUUGUAUACCUUUUUUCGAUUUAUAAUUACGCUACCAAUAUCUACUUAUUAUACUUUCAAGAUCACGACAUAAUGUAAUAAGUAAAAGGAAGCAUUACAUAGCAUAAAUGGGUAUAGCUUGUAAUAUUGAUUUAAUGAAGACCUCAUUUCCUCCCCA